GGUCACAUGGCCGAGCGGUUAGGCAAGGGUCUGCAAAACCUUUUACGGCGGUUCAAAUCCGCCUGUGACCU
Molecule: transfer RNA, 71 nt
Organism: Mucilaginibacter paludis DSM 18603
Lineage: Bacteria; Pseudomonadati; Bacteroidota; Sphingobacteriia; Sphingobacteriales; Sphingobacteriaceae
Rfam family: tRNA
About the family: Transfer RNA (tRNA) molecules are approximately 80 nucleotides in length. Their secondary structure includes four short double-helical elements and three loops (D, anti-codon, and T loops). Further hydrogen bonds mediate the characteristic L-shaped molecular structure. tRNAs have two regions of fundamental functional importance: the anti-codon, which is responsible for specific mRNA codon recognition, and the 3' end, to which the tRNAs corresponding amino acid is attached (by aminoacyl-tRNA synthetases). tRNAs cope with the degeneracy of the genetic code in two manners: having more than one tRNA (with a specific anti-codon) for a particular amino acid; and 'wobble' base-pairing, i.e. permitting non-standard base-pairing at the 3rd anti-codon position.
Source: Rfam